Molecule: ribosomal RNA, 2438 nt
Filed under: Escherichia coli
Lineage: Bacteria; Pseudomonadati; Pseudomonadota; Gammaproteobacteria; Enterobacterales; Enterobacteriaceae
Description: partial 23S ribosomal RNA
Rfam family: Bacterial large subunit ribosomal RNA
Source: RNAcentral
UGUGAGCUCGAUGAGUAGGGCGGGACACGUGGUAUCCUGUCUGAAUAUGGGGGGACCAUCCUCCAAGGCUAAAUACUCCUGACUGACCGAUAGUGAACCAGUACCGUGAGGGAAAGGCGAAAAGAACCCCGGCGAGGGGAGUGAAAAAGAACCUGAAACCGUGUACGUACAAGCAGUGGGAGCACGCUUAGGCGUGUGACUGCGUACCUUUUGUAUAAUGGGUCAGCGACUUAUAUUCUGUAGCAAGGUUAACCGAAUAGGGGAGCCGAAGGGAAACCGAGUCUUAACUGGGCGUUAAGUUGCAGGGUAUAGACCCGAAACCCGGUGAUCUAGCCAUGGGCAGGUUGAAGGUUGGGUAACACUAACUGGAGGACCGAACCGACUAAUGUUGAAAAAUUAGCGGAUGACUUGUGGCUGGGGGUGAAAGGCCAAUCAAACCGGGAGAUAGCUGGUUCUCCCCGAAAGCUAUUUAGGUAGCGCCUCGUGAAUUCAUCUCCGGGGGUAGAGCACUGUUUCGGCAAGGGGGUCAUCCCGACUUACCAACCCGAUGCAAACUGCGAAUACCGGAGAAUGUUAUCACGGGAGACACACGGCGGGUGCUAACGUCCGUCGUGAAGAGGGAAACAACCCAGACCGCCAGCUAAGGUCCCAAAGUCAUGGUUAAGUGGGAAACGAUGUGGGAAGGCCCAGACAGCCAGGAUGUUGGCUUAGAAGCAGCCAUCAUUUAAAGAAAGCGUAAUAGCUCACUGGUCGAGUCGGCCUGCGCGGAAGAUGUAACGGGGCUAAACCAUGCACCGAAGCUGCGGCAGCGACGCUGAUGCGUUGUUGGGUAGGGGAGCGUUCUGUAAGCCUGCGAAGGUGUGCUGUGAGGCAUGCUGGAGGUAUCAGAAGUGCGAAUGCUGACAUAAGUAACGAUAAAGCGGGUGAAAAGCCCGCUCGCCGGAAGACCAAGGGUUCCUGUCCAACGUUAAUCGGGGCAGGGUGAGUCGACCCCUAAGGCGAGGCCGAAAGGCGUAGUCGAUGGGAAACAGGUUAAUAUUCCUGUACUUGGUGUUACUGCGAAGGGGGGACGGAGAAGGCUAUGUUGGCCGGGCGACGGUUGUCCCGGUUUAAGCGUGUAGGCUGGUUUUCCAGGCAAAUCCGGAAAAUCAAGGCUGAGGCGUGAUGACGAGGCACUACGGUGCUGAAGCAACAAAUGCCCUGCUUCCAGGAAAAGCCUCUAAGCAUCAGGUAACAUCAAAUCGUACCCCAAACCGACACAGGUGGUCAGGUAGAGAAUACCAAGGCGCUUGAGAGAACUCGGGUGAAGGAACUAGGCAAAAUGGUGCCGUAACUUCGGGAGAAGGCACGCUGAUAUGUAGGUGAAGUCCCUCGCGGAUGGAGCUGAAAUCAGUCGAAGAUACCAGCUGGCUGCAACUGUUUAUUAAAAACACAGCACUGUGCAAACACGAAAGUGGACGUAUACGGUGUGACGCCUGCCCGGUGCCGGAAGGUUAAUUGAUGGGGUUAGCCGCAAGGCGAAGCUCUUGAUCGAAGCCCCGGUAAACGGCGGCCGUAACUAUAACGGUCCUAAGGUAGCGAAAUUCCUUGUCGGGUAAGUUCCGACCUGCACGAAUGGCGUAAUGAUGGCCAGGCUGUCUCCACCCGAGACUCAGUGAAAUUGAACUCGCUGUGAAGAUGCAGUGUACCCGCGGCAAGACGGAAAGACCCCGUGAACCUUUACUAUAGCUUGACACUGAACAUUGAGCCUUGAUGUGUAGGAUAGGUGGGAGGCUUGGAAGUGUGGACGCCAGUCUGCAUGGAGCCGACCUUGAAAUACCACCCUUUAAUGUUUGAUGUUCUAACGUUGACCCGUAAUCCGGGUUGCGGACAGUGUCUGGUGGGUAGUUUGACUGGGGCGGUCUCCUCCUAAAGAGUAACGGAGGAGCACGAAGGUUGGCUAAUCCUGGUCGGACAUCAGGAGGUUAGUGCAAUGGCAUAAGCCAGCUUGACUGCGAGCGUGACGGCGCGAGCAGGUGCGAAAGCAGGUCAUAGUGAUCCGGUGGUUCUGAAUGGAAGGGCCAUCGCUCAACGGAUAAAAGGUACUCCGGGGAUAACAGGCUGAUACCGCCCAAGAGUUCAUAUCGACGGCGGUGUUUGGCACCUCGAUGUCGGCUCAUCACAUCCUGGGGCUGAAGUAGGUCCCAAGGGUAUGGCUGUUCGCCAUUUAAAGUGGUACGCGAGCUGGGUUUAGAACGUCGUGAGACAGUUCGGUCCCUAUCUGCCGUGGGCGCUGGAGAACUGAGGGGGGCUGCUCCUAGUACGAGAGGACCGGAGUGGACGCAUCACUGGUGUUCGGGUUGUCAUGCCAAUGGCACUGCCCGGUAGCUAAAUGCGGAAGAGAUAAGUGCUGAAAGCAUCUAAGCACGAAACUUGCCCCGAGAUGAGUUCUCCCUGAC